AAAUUGAAGAGUUUGAUCAUGGCUCAGAUUGAACGCUGGCGGCAGGCCUAACACAUGCAAGUCGAGCGGAAACGAGUUGUCUGAACCUUCGGGGAACGAUAACGGCGUCGAGCGGCGGACGGGUGAGUAAUGCCUAGGAAAUUGCCCUGAUGUGGGGGAUAACCAUUGGAAACGAUGGCUAAUACCGCAUGAUGCCUACGGGCCAAAGAGGGGGACCUUCGGGCCUCUCG
Molecule: ribosomal RNA, 230 nt
Filed under: Vibrio parahaemolyticus
Lineage: Bacteria; Pseudomonadati; Pseudomonadota; Gammaproteobacteria; Vibrionales; Vibrionaceae
Also listed under: 1 other name
Description: partial 16S ribosomal RNA
Rfam family: Bacterial small subunit ribosomal RNA
Source: RNAcentral